AACAGCGCAGGGUCCUGUGUUGCUCCUCCACGAAGAGGGGGAGCGACACAACACCACUUCUAAGACACAAAAGAACUUCAAGCUUUGCUUCUCAGGUGGUCACACAGUGUCUUCGUUUUCCUUUUCAAGGAGUUGGAGCAUUCUGUACCCAAGAAUACACCUACACAGGCUUCCGAGGAGCAAAGGAAUCUGCAGGAAGACACAGGAAUGGGGAUCAGUGAGGAGGACAAGGACGCGGCAGCUGGUGCAAGGGGUGUGUGCAGAACUCGGAAGUUUUCUGUGACCCUCGAAGGUGACCCUAGGCUGUGA
Oryctolagus cuniculus (rabbit) is the source of this 309-nucleotide non-coding RNA. NCBI's taxonomy places the organism in Eukaryota, Metazoa, Chordata, Mammalia, Lagomorpha, Leporidae. The record is from RefSeq and is a predicted model, not a curated record.